RNAcentral lists this ribosomal RNA (219 nucleotides) under uncultured bacterium. Its description in RNAcentral is "partial 16S ribosomal RNA". It matches the Rfam family "Bacterial small subunit ribosomal RNA", at positions 524 to 740 of the family's 1533-position model. The record is from RNAcentral.
UACGGAGGGUGCAAGCGUUAAUCGGAAUUACUGGGCGUAAAGCGUGCGCAGGCGGUUUUGUUAAGUCCGUUGUGAAAGCCCCGAGCUCAACUUGGGAAUUGCAGUGGAUACUGGCAGGCUGGAGUACGGUAGAGGAAGGUGGAAUUCCCGGUGUAGCAGUGAAAUGCGUAGAUAUCGGGGAGGAACACCAGUGGCGGAAGGCGCCUUCUGGACCAGUAC